GUUUUUGUGAACUGUAUGAAUUGUUCUAUUUUACAUUUGCAAGCUGGGUAGUAUUAAAUUAACCCUGUCAUGCUGUCAAAAUUUUAUUGUAUGGUGGGUAUUGCUUACUGCAGUGGGCUGGGUUUUGUGGACUAGCCUAUUAGAGGGGUAUUGAAUCCUGACAUAUUUUACCUCGAUUGGAGAGGCGAGUAGGGUAACUCCUGAGGUAUAACUUUUAGAGUUCACUUCACGCCAAACCACCACGUGAGGGGGAACUCGGCCAAUGCCAAGGAACGACUAUAUUUUCUAAAUAAAAACAUGAUUUAUGAGUAUAUAACUUUUUAAUAGCCUUGGUGGACUCGGUUUGGGAUAGCCCUCGGCUAAGGUAUCCCUAAUAACUGAGUAUAAAAAUAAUUUUUGGCAUGAGCCAAGUUUUAAGAAAUUCAUAAGCCAUGUUGAUUACUCGAUUUAAAUGAAUUGAAUUUUAUUUGGUUGAAAUGAGUUGAAAGAUAAUAAAUUAAAGUAUUAUGAUUUAUUUUAUCUGUCUCCAUUUACUCGACUUUAGAUAUUUUAAAUGGUAAUUGUUUACUCACUGGGAUUUUAUAAUCUCACCACCCUUCUUUCCACCCAUUUUAGGCUCAGAAUAGACUGUAGAUAGCUGAUCGCAUCGAGGACUACCAUUGGAAUUGCAUUUUCCAAAUUGUAGGUUCACAGUCUUCUUUACUUUUGAAUAUUCAGGGGUCCCACUUGUUACUGUAAAUUAAAUUUCAUACUCCAGUUAUCUGUACUACUGUAUAUA
Molecule: long non-coding RNA, 778 nt
Filed under: Theobroma cacao (cacao)
Lineage: Eukaryota; Viridiplantae; Streptophyta; Magnoliopsida; Malvales; Malvaceae
Description: long non-coding RNA (TCAC_LNC001167)
Source: RNAcentral